AAUAGAUACCCGGGUAGUCCUAGCCAUCAACGAUGGAUACUGGAUAUUCCUGCACUCAUGUGGGAGUGUCGAAGCCAACGCGUUAAGUAUCCCGCCUGGGGAGUACGGUCGCAAGAUUGAAACUCAAAGGAAUUGACGGGGGCCCGCACAAGCGGUGGAGCAUGUGGUUUAAUUCGACGCAACGCGAAGAACCUUACCUGGGCUUGAACUGUCGGUAUAGGGACCCGAAAGGGCGACGAUCCCGGGCAACCGGGAAGCCGAUAGAGGUGCUGCAUGGCUGUCGUCAGCUCGUGUCGUGAGAUGUUGGGUUAAGUCCCGCAACGAGCGCAACCCUUGUCUUUAGUUGCCAGCGAGUCAUGUCGGGCACUCUAAGGAGACUGCCUCGGAUAACGAGGAGGAAGGUGGGGAUGACGUCAAGUCAGCAUGGCCUUUAUGUCCAGGGCUACACACGUGCUACAAUGGGCGGCACAGAAGGACGCGAGACCGCGAGGUCAAGCCAACCCUUAAAACCGGUUCUCAGUUCGGAUUGCAGG
RNAcentral lists this ribosomal RNA (533 nucleotides) under uncultured bacterium. Its description in RNAcentral is "bacterial SSU rRNA". It matches the Rfam family "Bacterial small subunit ribosomal RNA", at positions 777 to 1304 of the family's 1533-position model. The record is from RNAcentral.